GGGGCUUUAGCUCAAUGGUAGAGCGCAACGCUGGCAGUGUUAAGGUUAUCGGUUCGAGCCCGAUAAGCUCCA
RNAcentral lists this transfer RNA (72 nucleotides) under Candidatus Portiera aleyrodidarum (primary endosymbiont of Bemisia tabaci). RNAcentral describes it as "tRNA-Ala (GGC) (tRNA-Ala-GGC-1-1)". It matches the Rfam family "tRNA". From Rfam's summary of the family: Transfer RNA (tRNA) molecules are approximately 80 nucleotides in length. Their secondary structure includes four short double-helical elements and three loops (D, anti-codon, and T loops). Lineage: Bacteria; Pseudomonadati; Pseudomonadota; Gammaproteobacteria; Johnevansiales (SeqCode); Johnevansiaceae (SeqCode). The record is from RNAcentral.